AGGUCAUGUGGCAGCUUCAUU
Molecule: microRNA, 21 nt
Filed under: Aegilops tauschii
Lineage: Eukaryota; Viridiplantae; Streptophyta; Magnoliopsida; Poales; Poaceae
Description: ata-miR167d-3p
Gene: ata-miR167d-3p
Source: miRBase by way of RNAcentral